This 469-nucleotide ribosomal RNA is filed under the name uncultured bacterium. Its description in RNAcentral is "partial 16S ribosomal RNA". It matches the Rfam family "Bacterial small subunit ribosomal RNA", at positions 28 to 507 of the family's 1533-position model. The record is from RNAcentral.
GACGAACGCUGGCGGCGUGCUUAACACAUGCAAGUCGAACGGAAAGGCCCUGCUUGCAGGGUGCUCGAGUGGCGAACGGGUGAGUAACACGUGGGUGAUCUGCCCCUUACUUUGGGAUAAGCCCGGGAAACUGGGUCUAAUACUGGUUAGGACCAUGCUGUAGGUGGUGUGGUGGAAAGAUUAGUUUCGGUAAGGGAUGAGCUCGCGGCCUAUCAGCUUGUUGGUGGGGUAAUGGCCUACCAAGGCGUCGACGGGUAGCCGGCCUGAGAGGGUGGACGGCCACAUUGGGACUGAGAUACGGCCCAGACUCCUACGGGAGGCAGCAGUGGGGAAUAUUGCACAAUGGGCGCAAGCCUGAUGCAGCGACGCCGCGUGGGGGAUGACGGCCUUCGGGUUGUAAACUCCUUUCAGCCAUGACGAAGCCCUUGUGGUGACGGUAGUGGUAGAAGAAGCACCGGCUAACUACGUG